GCGGAAACCCUAAUUCAGCAAUCGGAGCUUUUGCCGGCCUUUGCUCACUGAACCCAACAGCCAUGGCCACUGCUAGGACCGUCAAGGAUGUCUCUCCUCACGAGUUUGUCAAGGCCUAUGCCGCUCAUCUCAAGCGAUCCGGAAAGGUUGAACUUCCGCCAUGGGCGGACAUUGUGAAAACUGCAAGGUUCAAAGAGCUCGCUCCAUAUGAUGCAGAUUGGUAUUACGUGAGAGCAGCUUCCAUGGCAAGGAAGAUCUACUUGAGAGGAGGUCUUGGUGUUGGGGCAUUUAAGCGGAUUUAUGGUGGAAGCAAAAGGAACGGAAGUCGCCCUCCACACUUCUGUGAAAGCAGUGGAGCCAUCGCCCGUCACAUUCUACAACAGUUGCAGGAGAUGAACAUUGUUGAUGUGGACCCAAAGGGUGGAAGGAGAAUUACUUCAAGCGGUCGACGAGAUCUCGAUCAAGUUGCUGGCCGCAUUGUUGUUGCCCCUUGAUCGAUCAAUUACCCGUUCUGUUAAUUAGAGAUUUGUGUUUUGCUGAUGAGAUACAAUUUCGUAUGCAUCAUUAAAAUUUUGGAUUUAGCUGUUGAAAGAUUUUCCAGAUGAAGAUGAUUACUCUUGUUUUCUCAUGGGUUUUGAAUGGUUA
Molecule: unclassified non-coding RNA, 645 nt
Filed under: Hevea brasiliensis (rubber tree)
Lineage: Eukaryota; Viridiplantae; Streptophyta; Magnoliopsida; Malpighiales; Euphorbiaceae
Source: RNAcentral